ACAUACGGCCAUACCUGCGGUAAUCUACUCGAACCCGUCCGAUUUCGAACGUCAAGACCGCAAGGGGCAGAUUAGUAGUUGGGUCGGUGACGACCAACGAACUCCGGCUGCUGUAUGUG
RNAcentral lists this ribosomal RNA (119 nucleotides) under Ophiocordyceps sinensis. RNAcentral also lists the same sequence under 1 other name. The record is from RNAcentral. Lineage: Eukaryota; Fungi; Ascomycota; Sordariomycetes; Hypocreales; Ophiocordycipitaceae.